This 537-nucleotide ribosomal RNA is filed under the name uncultured bacterium. Its description in RNAcentral is "partial 16S ribosomal RNA". It matches the Rfam family "Bacterial small subunit ribosomal RNA", at positions 355 to 883 of the family's 1533-position model. The record is from RNAcentral.
UGGGGAAUUUUGGACAAUGGGCGAAAGCCUGAUCCAGCAAUGCCGCGUGUGUGAAGAAGGCCUUCGGGUUGUAAAGCACUUUUGUCCGGAAAGAAAUCCUUGGCUCUAAUACAGUCGGGGGAUGACGGUACCGGAAGAAUAAGCACCGGCUAACUACGUGCCAGCAGCCGCGGUAAUACGUAGGGUGCAAGCGUUAAUCGGAAUUACUGGGCGUAAAGCGUGCGCAGGCGGUUUGCUAAGACCGAUGUGAAAUCCCCGGGCUCAACCUGGGAACUGCAUUGGUGACUGGCAGGCUAGAGUAUGGCAGAGGGGGGUAGAACUCCACGUGUAGCAGUGAAAUGCGUAGAGAUGUGGAGGAAUACCGAUGGCGAAGGCAGCCCCCUGGGCCAAUACUGACGCUCAUGCACGAAAAGCGUGGGGAGCAAACAGGAUUAGAUACCCUGGUAGUCCACGCCCUAAACGAUGUCAACUAGUUGUUGGGGAAUUCAUUUCCUUAGUAACGUAGCUAACGCGUGAAGUUGACCGCCUGGGGAGUAC